Molecule: long non-coding RNA, 478 nt
Organism: Rosa chinensis
Lineage: Eukaryota; Viridiplantae; Streptophyta; Magnoliopsida; Rosales; Rosaceae
Exons: 4
Source: RefSeq, a predicted model, not a curated record
UUGAUUCCAGCUUGGAGGCAUAAAAGUUUUGUCUCUCAGAUUGUAUCUGAAUUGCAAAGCUGUGAUUUUUGGUGUGGGUGGAGGCUUUUAGUUAGAAUUGGAGUGAAGGGGCAGAGUAACAUUUGGAUCUAGGUUUUGAUCAGUGUAUCUGUAGGAACUCCACGCCAACGUUGACGGAAAUUAAUAGGGUCAGCCACUUGCGAAAUCGGAUCUCAACUUCAAUUCUUCCAGAUUCAGGGUGAGCUGCUUAAUUUUUCUUUGUUCGUGUGAUUAUGAGUGAAUUUUGGGGAAGUCUGGGAUGUUGUUUGCUUAGCUUAUUGAAUUUAAAAUUAGAUGCAUGUAAAAUUGUGUGGACUUUAUGGGAAAUUAAUUUUUAACUGAUGCUUUCUAAUGUUUUAGAUUAUAUAUUAUACAAUUCUUAUUGUUCCUGUUUCAAAUGGUUAUGCACUUGCUUUUUUAAUCUUUCUGAAUGAGUAGA